This 353-nucleotide unclassified non-coding RNA is filed under the name soil metagenome. RNAcentral describes it as "partial contains 5.8S ribosomal RNA, internal transcribed spacer 2, and large subunit ribosomal RNA". The stretch from base 1 to 120 matches the Rfam family "5.8S ribosomal RNA", at positions 35 to 154 of the family's 154-position model. The record is from RNAcentral.
GAUGAAGAACGUAGCGAAAUGCGAUAAGUAAUGUGAAUUGCAGAAUUCAGUGAAUCAUCGAAUCUUUGAACGCACAUUGCGCCCGCCAGUAUUCUGGCGGGCAUGCCUGUUCGAGCGUCAUUACAACCCUCAGGCCCCCGGGCCUGGCGUUGGGGAUCGGCGGAAGCCCCCUGCGGGCACAACGCAGUCCCCCAAAUACAGUGGCGGUCCCGCCGCAGCUUCCAUUGCGUAGUAGCUAACACCUCGCAACUGGAGAGCGGCGCGGCCACGCCGUAAAACACCCAACUUCUGAAUGUUGACCUCGAAUCAGGUAGGAAUACCCGCUGAACUUAAGCAUAUCAAUAAGCGGAGGA